RNAcentral lists this ribosomal RNA (373 nucleotides) under uncultured bacterium. RNAcentral describes it as "bacterial SSU rRNA". It matches the Rfam family "Bacterial small subunit ribosomal RNA", at positions 521 to 896 of the family's 1533-position model. The record is from RNAcentral.
UAAUACGGAGGGUCCAAGCGUUGUCCGGAUUUAUUGGGUUUAAAGGGUACGUAGGUGGAACUUUAAGUCAGUGGUGAAAGCCUCCAGCUCAACUGGAGAAUUGCCAUUGAAACUGAAGUUCUUGAAUAUGGAUGAGGUGGUUGGAAUACAACAUGUAGCGGUGAAAUGCUUAGAUAUGUUAUAGAACACCAAUUGCGAAGGCAGAUCACUAAACCAUUAUUGACACUGAGGUACGAAAGCGUGGGGAGCGAACAGGAUUAGAUACCCUGGUAGUCCACGCCGUAAACGAUGUUCACUCGCUGUUGGCGAUAUACUGUCAGCGGCCAAGCGAAAGCAUUAAGUGAACCACCUGGGGAGUACGAUCGCAAGGUUG